RNAcentral lists this unclassified non-coding RNA (22 nucleotides) under Mus musculus (house mouse). RNAcentral describes it as "oocyte_clustered_small_RNA10952". Lineage: Eukaryota; Metazoa; Chordata; Mammalia; Rodentia; Muridae. The record is from RNAcentral.
UGUGACUGUGACUGCUCCGUUC